CCUACGGGGUGCAGCAGUGGGGAAUAUUGGACAAUGGGCGAAAGCCUGAUCCAGCCAUGCCGCGUGUGUGAAGAAGGCCUUCGGGUUGUAAAGCACUUUCAGUGGGGAAGAAAGCCUUGGGGCUAAUACCCUCGAGGAAGGACAUCACCCACAGAAGAAGCACCGGCUAACUCCGUGCCAGCAGCCGCGGUAAUACGGAGGGUGCGAGCGUUAAUCGGAAUUACUGGGCGUAAAGCGCGCGUAGGCGGUCUGAUAAGCCGGUUGUGAAAGCCCCGGGCUCAACCUGGGAACGGCAUCCGGAACUGUCAGGCUAGAGUGCAGGAGAGGAAGGUAGAAUUCCCGGUGUAGCGGUGAAAUGCGUAGAGAUCGGGAGGAAUACCAGUGGCGAAGGCGGCCUUCUGGACUGACACUGACGCGGAGGUGCGAAAGCGUGGGUAGCAAACAGGAUUAGAUACCCUAGUAGUC
Molecule: ribosomal RNA, 465 nt
Filed under: Vreelandella stevensii
Lineage: Bacteria; Pseudomonadati; Pseudomonadota; Gammaproteobacteria; Oceanospirillales; Halomonadaceae
Description: partial 16S ribosomal RNA
Rfam family: Bacterial small subunit ribosomal RNA
Source: RNAcentral